This 1113-nucleotide ribosomal RNA is filed under the name Paenarthrobacter nicotinovorans. RNAcentral's name for it is "bacterial SSU rRNA". It matches the Rfam family "Bacterial small subunit ribosomal RNA", at positions 331 to 1447 of the family's 1533-position model. Lineage: Bacteria; Bacillati; Actinomycetota; Actinomycetes; Micrococcales; Micrococcaceae. The record is from RNAcentral.
CCAGACUUCUACGGAACGGCAGCCAGUGGGCAUAUUUGGCCCAUUGGGCGCAAGCCUGAUGCAGCGACGCCGCGUGAGGGAUGACGGCCUUCGGGUUGUAAACCUCUUUCAGUAGGGAAGAAGCCUUUCGGGGUGACGGUACUUGCAGAAGAAGCGCCGGCUAACUACGUGCCAGCAGCCGCGGUAAUACGUAGGGCGCAAGCGUUAUCCGGAAUUAUUGGGCGUAAAGAGCUCGUAGGCGGUUUGUCGCGUCUGCUGUGAAAGACCGGGGCUCAACUCCGGUUCUGCAGUGGGUACGGGCAGACUAGAGUGCAGUAGGGGAGACUGGAAUUCCUGGUGUAGCGGUGAAAUGCGCAGAUAUCAGGAGGAACACCGAUGGCGAAGGCAGGUCUCUGGGCUGUAACUGACGCUGAGGAGCGAAAGCAUGGGGAGCGAACAGGAUUAGAUACCCUGGUAGUCCAUGCCGUAAACGUUGGGCACUAGGUGUGGGGGACAUUCCACGUUUUCCGCGCCGUAGCUAACGCAUUAAGUGCCCCGCCUGGGGAGUACGGCCGCAAGGCUAAAACUCAAAGGAAUUGACGGGGGCCCGCACAAGCGGCGGAGCAUGCGGAUUAAUUCGAUGCAACGCGAAGAACCUUACCAAGGCUUGACAUGGACCGGAAAGACCUGGAAACAGGUGCCCCGCUUGCGGCCGGUUUACAGGUGGUGCAUGGUUGUCGUCAGCUCGUGUCGUGAGAUGUUGGGUUAAGUCCCGCAACGAGCGCAACCCUCGUUCUAUGUUGCCAGCGGUUCGGCCGGGGACUCAUAGGAGACUGCCGGGGUCAACUCGGAGGAAGGUGGGGACGACGUCAAAUCAUCAUGCCCCUUAUGUCUUGGGCUUCACGCAUGCUACAAUGGCCGGUACAAAGGGUUGCGAUACUGUGAGGUGGAGCUAAUCCCAAAAAGCCGGUCUCAGUUCGGAUUGGGGUCUGCAACUCGACCCCAUGAAGUCGGAGUCGCUAGUAAUCGCAGAUCAGCAACGCUGCGGUGAAUACGUUCCCGGGCCUUGUACACACCGCCCGUCAAGUCACGAAAGUUGGUAACACCCGAAGCCGGUGGCCUAACCCUUGUGGG